AACGAACGCUGACGGCAUGCCUAACACAUGCAAGUCGAACGAGAUCUUCGGGUCUAGUGGCGCACGGGUGCGUUACGCGUGGGAAUCUGCCCUUUGGUUCGGAAUAACAGUUGGAAACGACUGCUAAUACCGGAUGAUGACGAAAGUCCAAAGAUUUAUCGCCAGAGGAUGAGCCCGCGUAGGAUUAGCUAGUUGGUGUGGUAAAGGCGCACCGAGGCGACGAUCCUUAGCUGGUCUGAGAGGAUGAUCAGCCACACUGGGACUGAGACACGGCCCAGACUCCUACGGGAGGCAGCAGUGGGGAAUACUGGACAAUGGGCGAAAGCUUGAUCCAGCAAUGCCGCGUGAGUGAUGAAGGCCUUAGGGUUGUAAAGCUCUUUUACCCGGGAUGAUAAUGACAGUACCGGGAGAAUAAGCUCCGGCUAACUCCGUGCCAGCCGCCGCGGUAA
This 449-nucleotide ribosomal RNA is filed under the name uncultured bacterium. RNAcentral describes it as "partial 16S ribosomal RNA". It matches the Rfam family "Bacterial small subunit ribosomal RNA", at positions 29 to 523 of the family's 1533-position model. The record is from RNAcentral.